CCUACGGGUGGCAGCAGUGGGGAAUAUUGCGCAAUGGGCGAAAGCCUGACGCAGCGACGCCGCGUGAGUGAUGAAGGUCUUCGGAUCGUAAACCUCUGUCAGCAGGGAAGAACGGUCACUGUGCUAAUCAGCAGUGAAUUGACGGUACCUGCAAAGGAAGCACCGGCUAACUCCGUGCCAGCAGCCGCGGUAAUACGGAGGGUGCGAGCGUUAAUCGGAAUUACUGGGCGUAAAGCGCUCGUAGGCGGUAUGUCAAGUCAAGGGUGAAAUCCCCGCGCUCAACGUGGGAACUGCAUUUGAAACUGGCAAGCUGGAGUGUGUGAGAGGAGAGUGGAAUUCCAGGUGUAGGAGUGAAAUCCGUAGAGAUCUGGAGGAAUACCAGGGGCGAAGGCGACUAUCUGGCACAUAACUGACGCGGAGGAGCGAAAGCGUGGGGAGCAAACAGGAUUAGAUACCCUUGUAGUC
Molecule: ribosomal RNA, 465 nt
Filed under: uncultured bacterium
Lineage: Bacteria
Description: partial 16S ribosomal RNA
Rfam family: Bacterial small subunit ribosomal RNA
Source: RNAcentral